Molecule: ribosomal RNA, 254 nt
Filed under: uncultured Lamproderma sp.
Lineage: Eukaryota; Evosea; Eumycetozoa; Stemonitida
Description: partial 18S ribosomal RNA
Rfam family: Eukaryotic small subunit ribosomal RNA
Source: RNAcentral
AUGCUUCUCCUAAAGACUUAGCCAUGCAUGCCUCCGAAUAAGAGGAAGCAAUUCUCUCUGAAUCUGCGAACGGCUCCGCAAACCAGUUGUAAACCACAGCAAGCCCGCAAGGGUGGGCCUCGGCUCGCCUGCGCGAUACGGAUAACCCUGGUAAUUCUAAGGCUAAUACGUGUAUGGAACACCCGGUGGACCGGCCUUGUGCUGGGAAACCGGGAGGCGAGGGAUUGAAUGGUUUGGAUUACCAGGAACGGGCG